Molecule: unclassified non-coding RNA, 1774 nt
Filed under: Stegodyphus dumicola
Lineage: Eukaryota; Metazoa; Arthropoda; Arachnida; Araneae; Eresidae
Description: uncharacterized LOC118203959, transcript variant X1
Source: RNAcentral
UUAUACUCUGGUUUUUGCUGAGUGAAUGUUACUUUUGAAUUUCUGUGAUUUAUCUGCGCCAUUUUCAUUUUAUCUACACGAUGUCUGCUAAACGAUCUGCAUCUAAUGUAUUUUUCCUUUCCGCGAUUCAGAUGAUGAUUUAAUCGAUGAAGUUGAUCAAAUAUUCAUGGAAAAUCCUCUGGUUCAGCCCUUGUAUUACCAAGUGGGUUCUGGAUUUGAGACGUCUUCUUCAUCAGCUCGUGGUCCUGUGUAUAUGGCAGGUUCUGAUGAACGUUCGAUCGAUGAGGCGAUUGUUCUCACUGAAAAAUCUCGUCGACGGAACCAUAAAUAUCAGGCCGAGGAAAUUUCCUUCCGAGCUAGUAUAGAUAUGGAACGGCUGCCUCAGGACGUAUAAGGCGUCCCGAUGGUGCGAAUUCCGGACACCGUCCGGGAAUUGUUUGAACAGCUUAUUCGCCGGACAACAGCCGAUUUGGGUCCCUCAGAUCUUAUACGGUUUUGCAUCCAGGCAGAAGGGUUGGACAAACCCAUCAGCACAUCUCUUAUGACAGUUUCAACCCUAACGGUUGAAAAAAUUUUGGCUGCUGUGAUGAAAGUGUUGCAGUCCAAAGACAAGAUUGAACUAGACACAGGGUUCUCCGUGGAUGUCAUCACCAUCAGACGACCUGUGAGUGUCGGACGAAACAGGAAAGUCAUCAUUAUUUCCGUGGAUAGGCUCAGUAAAAGGUCCAUUUUGGCUAUUCCAUACAAUGAGGAAGGACUGUGCUGUGCUAAGGCAAUUGUUUAUGCCUUAGCACAUUUGAAAAAGGAUUCGAGCGCCAUCAAUGCCUUGAGAAAUCAUCGUCGGCCAACACUGAUGAACCGUGCAAGGCAACUUCAUUUAGAUGCAAAUGUGCCCCUAGGUCCUUGCACGUUUGCGGAGAUCGCCAUAUUUGAAGAUCACCUGGAUACUCAAAUUGCAGUCUUUUCAUCGGAAAAUUUGAACCGGGUGGUCUAUAAAGGAAGAAAGAGGACACAACGAAUCAAUUUAUGGCUUCAAGAUGGACAAUAUGACGUGAUCAAGUCCCUCAAAGGGUUUUUCGGCAGCAACCAUUACUGAAGACCUACCAGCGCGUUGAAGAACAUCGAAUCGCCAAUGCGUGUCCCAUAUGCUUGAGGACCGACUGCUUUCCGGGCCAGCCCCAACGAUGUCAGGCUUGCGACCGUCUCUACCGAUCCGAUGCCUGUUGCGCAGCACACAAAGCCCUCACUGGAAACCAAGAGUUUUCACUUUGCGAUCUUAAUUAAAUAUAUCUUAAUGAACAAAGUUAUUUAUCAAAUAAUUUUCUCAAAAUUGUUAUGUUAAAAAAAUUAAUUGUCGUUACAGGUAUACCAGUGCAGGGACUGCUGCCAAGUGAUUGAACGCCGUAAGUGCCCUAAAGAUCUGCAUAAGUGCGGUACCACCAAAUGUCGUCUUGCGGCCAGUUUGUCGUGGCUGCUGAGCACCGUUGCUAUUUACGUCGUAUUGCUCCGAAGAAGUCCGAUGACAAGUUCAUUUUCUUUGACUUUGAAACGGACCAGUCUUCGGGGGAACACCUCGUAAAUUUCGCGGUGGCUCAGUAUGCCGACGGCACAGAAAAAGUGUUUCCGGGAUACAUGGCAUACCAAGAUUUCUGCGCCUGGCUGUUCUCCACAGAGCACAAGGGCUACACCGCCUUGGCUCAUAACAUGAAAGGGUUCGACGGUCAGUUCGUGAUGGCCUGGCUCCUGGAGCAAGGCACAGCGCCGGAGGUGAUCC